This 433-nucleotide ribosomal RNA is filed under the name uncultured bacterium. RNAcentral describes it as "partial 16S ribosomal RNA". It matches the Rfam family "Bacterial small subunit ribosomal RNA", at positions 28 to 507 of the family's 1533-position model. The record is from RNAcentral.
GACGAACGCUGGCGGCAUGCCUAACACAUGCAAGUCGAACGAGCCCUUCGGGUCUUUUCUCCCCCGGCUUCGUCACCCGUCGGAACCUUCCCUUAUGUUUGGCAUACCUCUCCGACAGGGGUGCUUAUACCGGAUCAUGUCUUCUGCCCAAAGAUUUAUCGCCUUUGGUUGUUCCCGCGUUGGAUUAGCUAGUUCUUAGGCUAAAAGCUUACCAAGGCGACCAUCCAUAGCUUGUCUGAGAGGAUGAUCAGCAACACUGGGACGGAGACACGGCCCAGAAUCCUACGGGAGGCGGCAGUGGGGGACAGUGGACAAUGGGCGAAAGCAUGAUCCAGCAAUGCCGCGUGAGUGAUGAAGGCAGUAGGGAUGUAAAGCGCUAGUACCCGGGAAGAUAAUGACAGUACCGGGAGAAUAAGCUACGGCUAACUCCGUG